UACGGAGGGUGCAAGCGUUAUCCGGAAUCACUGGGUUUAAAGGGUGCGUAGGCGGUUUGAUAAGUCAGUCGUGAAAUUCCCCGGCUUAACCGGCGGGACUGCGAUUGAUACUGUUGAACUUGAAUCAGGUUGAGGUAGGCGGAAUGUGGCAUGUAGCGGUGAAAUGCUUAGAUAUGCCAUAGAACACCGAUUGCGAAGGCAGCUUGCUGGACCUGUAUUGACGCUGAGGCACGAAAGCGUGGGGAGCAAACAGG
Molecule: ribosomal RNA, 254 nt
Filed under: uncultured bacterium
Lineage: Bacteria
Description: partial 16S ribosomal RNA
Rfam family: Bacterial small subunit ribosomal RNA
Source: RNAcentral